CCUACGGGAGGCAGCAGUAGGGAAUCUUUCACAAUGGGCGAAAGCCUGAUGGAGCAACGCCGCGUGCAGGAUGAAGGCCUUCGGGUUGUAAACUGCUUUUAUAAGCGAGAAAUAUGUUGGUAACUUAUGAAUUAGGAUCGGCUAACUACGUGCCAGCAGCCGCGGUCAUACGUAGGAUCCGAGCAUUAUCCGGGGUGACUGGGUGUAAAGAGUUGCGUAGGUGGCAUAAUAAGUAGCGAGUGAAAUCGGGUGGCUCAACCAUUCAGACUAUUAGCUAAACUGGUAAGCUCGAGACCGGUAGAGGUAACUGGAAUUUCUGGUGUAGGGGUGAAAUGCGUAGAUAUUAGAAGGAACACCAAUAGCGUAGGCAGGUUACUGGGACGGUUCUGACACUAAGGCACGAAAGCGUAGGGAGCAAACGGGAUUAGAUACCCCUGUAGUC
Molecule: ribosomal RNA, 442 nt
Filed under: uncultured bacterium
Lineage: Bacteria
Description: partial 16S ribosomal RNA
Rfam family: Bacterial small subunit ribosomal RNA
Source: RNAcentral